Molecule: ribosomal RNA, 253 nt
Filed under: uncultured bacterium
Lineage: Bacteria
Description: partial 16S ribosomal RNA
Rfam family: Bacterial small subunit ribosomal RNA
Source: RNAcentral
UACAGAGGGGGCUAGCGUUGUUCGGAAUUACUGGGCGUAAAGGGCGCGUAGGUGGCCUGUUAAGUCGAACGUGAAAUCCCCGGGCUCAACCCGGGAACUGCGUCCGAGACUGGCAGGCUCGAAUCCGGGAGAGGGAUGUGGAAUUCCAGGUGUAGCGGUGAAAUGCGUAGAUAUCUGGAGGAACACCGGUGGCGAAGGCGGCAUCCUGGACCGAGAUUGACACUGAUGAGCGAAAGCCAGGGGAGCAAACGGG